Podarcis lilfordi (Lilford's wall lizard) is the source of this 1214-nucleotide non-coding RNA. The record is from the annotation of a GenBank genome assembly. Lineage: Eukaryota; Metazoa; Chordata; Lepidosauria; Squamata; Lacertidae.
CAUGGGGGUGGAGGGGAGACAGUGACCAAGCAGGACUGAGCAUCAGCGUAUCGCCUAAUGUGCAGGAAGUUCAACCUGGAUUUCUGCAGGGUAUGGGUAUGUGAGCAGCCAAUCCAGCUGCAUCUCCACCUGCCCUACAGAUCAAGUGUGGGGCAGGCAGGCAUGGGUUUUAUGUUGUUGUUCCGUGGCGAGUUCCUGCCUCCCCCCAGUGGAAAUAAAGACACAUGACACGAAUAUUUAGGUUAAUGGGCAAAAAAUGGCCACAACUUUAUUGGUUACAGGAAUGAGUGGUAUUGGCUUAGGCAUUGGUCCUAACUGACUAUCCGGCUUCAGCCCAAUUGCUUGAAGACAGGGAAGGGGGUCUUGAAGACCACCACUAGGGGGCGUCCUGCUGAUGCACACCAACUAGGAGCUCCCCCGGGGUCACUGCUCGGGGGCGUGCCUUAGGCCCUCACCUCCAUAGGCUUCGGACAGGGCCACGCCCCCCGGAAUCCUUUACUGGACUACCCUUCGAUAUUCAGGGGAGGUGAUGGCGCUUCCUCCCCCCUUCAUCUGCAUGAGAAUACCCCUACCAAUGCCUAACCGCCACUCGAGCAAAAGCUUGCCGCCAAUACCCUCAGACCUGCAACCAAUCCCUAAUCCCAGCAGAUAUGUCAGCCAACCAAACAAACAUCAUUUCCCGAUGAGCUGAGGCGGCAAAAGAGGGAGAUCCAUGGCCGUGCCAGUGUGAUGUCGUGCAAGCCACGCCCCCCCUUGGCCAGCCGAUUGGCUGGCCAGGGGAUGACGCGGCCAGGGAUCCCCUCAAUCGCGCGGAGGCUGAGAGCGUGAAGCCCGCAACUCCACCUCCUCUCGAGUUCGGAAGUGGUGUUGUUGUUGUUGUUGUUUUUAAAAAAGGAAAUUUUGUGGGGGGCCCUACCACUAAUCUUUAAAUACUGCUUCAUUUCGCUGUUUUAGAAAAUUCUACUGACUACAUUAACAACAUAAAAACAGCACAGCUGGAUCAGACCAAAGACCUGUGGAGUCCAGGAUCCUGUUCACACAGUGGCCAGCCAGGUGUCUAUGAGAAGCCUACAGAAUAACAGCGCUCUUCAUACAUGAUUCCCAGAAACUGAUAUUCAGAGUGGUACCUUCCCUGGAAGUCAGUCAGAUCAGGCCAAGAGGACCCUUCUUAAUCUUGAACAACCUUCAAUGGACACAUUUGCUGCAUUCUGACU